AGCGAACGCUGGCGGCAGGCUUAACACAUGCAAGUCGAGCGGGCCCUUCGGGGUCAGCGGCAGACGGGUGGGUAACACGUGGGAACGUACCCUUUGGUUCGGAAUAACGCUGGGAAACUAGCGCUAAUACCGGAUACGCCCUUUUGGGGAAAGGCUUGCUGCCGAAGGAUCGGCCCGCGUCUGAUUAGCUAGUUGGUGGGGUAAUGGCCUACCAAGGCGACGAUCAGUAGCUGGUCUGAGAGGAUGAUCAGCCACACUGGGACUGAGACACGGCCCAGACUCCUACGGGAGGCAGCAGUGGGGAAUAUUGGACAAUGGGCGCAAGCCUGAUCCAGCCAUGCCGCGUGAGUGAUGAAGGCCUUAGGGUUGUAAAGCUCUUUUGUCCGGGACGAUAAUGACGGUACCGGAAGAAUAAGCCCCGGCUAACUUCGUG
Molecule: ribosomal RNA, 433 nt
Filed under: uncultured bacterium
Lineage: Bacteria
Description: partial 16S ribosomal RNA
Rfam family: Bacterial small subunit ribosomal RNA
Source: RNAcentral